This is a long non-coding RNA of Bactrocera dorsalis (oriental fruit fly), 806 nucleotides long. RefSeq lists it as uncharacterized. The record is from RefSeq and is a predicted model, not a curated record. The transcript has 2 exons. NCBI's taxonomy places the organism in Eukaryota, Metazoa, Arthropoda, Insecta, Diptera, Tephritidae.
AAGACGAGGUUGAAGAGGCACUUGAAACUGCAGGAGAGGAGAUCAUCGAUGAGAAAGACGAGAAAAUACUGCAUUUGGAAACAGAAAUGUUAGUCCUAAUUGAUAUUGAUGAAGUAUGUUUUUCUUAUAUAAGUAUGUGUAUUGCUUAUUAUUUUUAGACAAAGGCUGAAUAGUGUUGUUAGAACUUUGAAAAAGUGCAAAAACGAGCAGUUAGCUGAAAUUAAACGCCUUAGGAUUUCCAUUAAAACCGCGGAAUUCCACAGAUAUAAUUUGGGUCAAAAACUUAGCUGCAUUUUCACCAACAGCCAGGUAAUAUUUUUCAACGUGUGUCACUUGAUCUAAAUUCCACUGACCCAAUUGAAAAAAAUGAUGACUUGGAGAUUCUCAACAACGACGGACUUGAGAAUUUGGCAGUUCUGCCACAAACUCGAUAAAGACAACCCCAAAAUUUGUGCCAAUUCAGAAAAUUGUUUGUCCUAUACUUGGAUGGAUCACCUUUCUGAAGGAGGACUCUCAAAACCAACAGAUAUGUUGAUGGAGCAUAUGAGAGCCUUGCAAGCAGUAUUUGACGACGUGAAUGGUACUGAUUUGCAUAUAUGUAUGUAUGUACGUUUGUACAAAUUACGUCCAGUAGCACUUAGAUUUAAGUAAUUUUGUAAAUUGUAGCUCGAAAGUAAAAUAAUUGUUUUACAGACCUAGAAUGUAUUUUAGGAUUCGUUCCUUAAAUAAAAACUUAAUUGAACAUAAGUAUGUAUAGCAAAAAAAGAAAUUUAAAUAAGACAAUAAAUUGGUACUUGGUUACAAAA